CGUCUAUAUACGUAUAGCAUAUCAAUAAGCGGAGGAAAAGAAACUAACAAGGAUUCCCUUAGUAACGGCGAGUGAAGCGGGAAGAGCUCAAAUUUGAAAUCUUCAAGGUUCUACCUUGACGAAUUGUAGUUUAAAGAAGUGUUUUCUGUUAGAGUUUGAGUAGCAAAAGUUCUUUGGAAUAGGACAUCAUAGAGGGUGAGAAUCCCGUAUUUGACUAUUAUUUUCUAGCUGUGUGAUACACUUUCAAAGAGUCGGAUUGUUUGGGAAUGCAGUCCAAAAUGGGUGGUAAAUUUCAUCUAAAGCUAAAUAUUGGCGAGAGACCGAUAGCGAACAAGUACCGUGAGGGAAAGAUGAAAAGAACUUUGAAAAGAGAGUUAAACAGUACGUGAAAUUGUCAAAAGGGAAGCGUUUGACACCAGUGUUGUUUUUCCGAAAAUCAAUUAAGAGGGACUUGAUUUUGUGUUGUAUUGACCUUAUCAGCUUUCUUCACUCUUUUUCGAGUCUUUCUUAAUGCACUUUUCGGUUAACAAGUCAACAUCAAUUUCUUUUGUUGUAAAAGGGUAUUUGGAAGGUGGCUUUCUUUUCGGAGAAAGUGUUUAUAGCCUUAUACCUCUACAAUCGGAGAGAUUGAGGUCUGCAGCGUAGAUCCUUCGGGGCUAGAUACACUUGUGCUAAGUUAUAGCUUUUCAUAGACAACUUGUUGACUAUGUUUAGUCAUGUAGCUUACCCGCUUGUGCUAUUUUACCUACGCUUAGGAUGUUGAGUCAUCACACAUCUC
RNAcentral lists this ribosomal RNA (778 nucleotides) under uncultured Neocallimastigales. RNAcentral describes it as "partial large subunit ribosomal RNA". It matches the Rfam family "Eukaryotic large subunit ribosomal RNA", at positions 26 to 634 of the family's 3401-position model. The record is from RNAcentral. Lineage: Eukaryota; Fungi; Neocallimastigomycota; Neocallimastigomycetes; Neocallimastigales.